This 529-nucleotide long non-coding RNA is filed under the name Pandoravirus salinus. RNAcentral describes it as "putative ncRNA". The record is from RNAcentral.
GGAAAGAAGAGAGACACUCAAUUGAUCCGUCGCCGCUUUGCGGCCUCAAAGAAAAAAAUUUUGGGGGUACCCUUUGUGGAGGCGACAUAAAGAGGCGACGCAAGCCGUCGGACGGGGCAGACGGGCGGGCGAGGGCACUGGCGCCGCCGCCGACGGCAAAUGGAGGCCGACCUUUUUUCUGGGGCGACGCCUUUGCAGACAGACGGGAAAAGAAAGAGGAAAAUCCAAAAGAAAAAAGAGACGCCAAGAGCGCCCAAGAUCCAAGAGAGGAAAAAAGGCGGCAGCGACAGCGCGGCGAUGUGCAAUACGGAUCGUGUUUGUUGGCGGGCCGACAAAAUCGCGCGACGACAACAUGGCAUGGGUCGGCGGGCGACGCGCGAGCGCCACCAACAAAUCGAGCGGCAAAAUUUGCGAGGUACCAGGAUAUGUGUAGGAAAAAACCGGUAUAGAUCUGGUCAUUUUACUAUGUGAAAAACCGGGAUAAAUCGAGACAUGAAAAAAGGUCAUAUUUUGCGGCGGCGGUGUCGUC